AAAGUGUUUGUUUUUUUUUAAAUCCAAGCUAUUGUGACACCAGAUCUAAGUGGUGGCACUGGUCACCAUAUCCACUGUUAGCGUAACACACCCGCUUUAAGGACACUGACUGCUAUUCAAUAUAUAACAGUGAAAAAAGUGGUUGUUUUUUUUUUAAAUACAAGCUUUGUGUCACCAGAUCUAUGUGGUGGCAAUGGUCACCGUAUCCACUGUUAGCGUAACACACCCGCUUUAAG
This 236-nucleotide long non-coding RNA is filed under the name Pelobates cultripes (western spadefoot toad). Lineage: Eukaryota; Metazoa; Chordata; Amphibia; Anura; Pelobatidae. The record is from RNAcentral.